This 252-nucleotide ribosomal RNA is filed under the name uncultured bacterium. Its description in RNAcentral is "partial 16S ribosomal RNA". It matches the Rfam family "Bacterial small subunit ribosomal RNA", at positions 524 to 776 of the family's 1533-position model. The record is from RNAcentral.
UACGGAGGGUGCAAGCGUUAUCCGGAUUCACUGGGUUUAAGGGUGCGUAGGCGGACAGGUAAGUCAGUGGUGAAAUCUCUGGGCUUAACCCAGAAACUGCCGUUGAUACUAUUUGUCUUGAAUAUCCUGGAGGUAGGCGGAAUAUGUCAUGUAGCGGUGAAAUGCUUAGAUAUGACAUAGAACACCGAUAGCGAAGGCAGCUUGCUACACAAUCAUUGACACUGAGGCACGAAAGCGUGGGGAUCAAACAGG